This 253-nucleotide ribosomal RNA is filed under the name uncultured bacterium. RNAcentral describes it as "partial 16S ribosomal RNA". It matches the Rfam family "Bacterial small subunit ribosomal RNA", at positions 524 to 776 of the family's 1533-position model. The record is from RNAcentral.
UACGAAGGGGGCUAGCGUUGCUCGGAAUCACUGGGCGUAAAGCGCACGUAGGCGGACUCUUAAGUCGGUGGUGAAAUCCUGGAGCUCAACUCCAGAACUGCCUUCGAUACUGGGAGUCUCGAGUUCGGGAGAGGUGAGUGGAACUGCGAGUGUAGAGGUGAAAUUCGUAGAUAUUCGCAAGAACACCAGUGGCGAAGGCGGCUUACUGGCCCGAUACUGACGCUGAGGUGCGAAAGCGUGGGGAGCAAACAGG